Molecule: long non-coding RNA, 618 nt
Organism: Daphnia magna
Lineage: Eukaryota; Metazoa; Arthropoda; Branchiopoda; Diplostraca; Daphniidae
Exons: 3
Source: RefSeq, a predicted model, not a curated record
GCUUCCCGCAAGAGGAAAGUGUUCAGGAAGAUUUUGCCAGAUUCCUGCAUCAAUUGUUCAAGGAAUUGCGCAAAGGUAGCAAAAUUGCAGGAAAAAAUGAAGCAAAAGGAAAAACCAUUAGACGAUUAAGACAACAAAAUGCACGUCUAGUUUCAUAUUUCAACGAUAUGGCCGGAAAGAUCGAACAAUUUAAGGUGGAACUAAAGAACUUGACUGAGAAGUCACUGGAAAACAAAUAUGUCACUUGAAACCACAGGAGCAGGAAGUUAUCAGAACAUUCAUUGCGAAGGGACGGACACAGCUUACGUCGGAGAGUGGGAAGGCUUACUCUAUGCGAUAUGGUCCUGGCUUUUUACUCGAGUGUUUACUCUUGAAGAUGAAAAGCACCUCGGAGUAUAAACAUUUGAGGAAUAGAAGCAUACUUCCUCUUCCACAUCCGAAUACAAUCCGUAAAUUGCUGAGUUCAACUCCCUCCAAGUUUGGUUAUAACGAAAUCGCACUCGAUUCAAUCAAACGAGAAUUUGACCGACAACAGCUGAGUGAAAAGUCAAGAAGAAGGUGGGGUACCUUGAUAUAAGAUGAGGUUAAGUUGAAGAAGGACCUUUCGUUUGACAAACA